CGAGCACUCUAGACGAACUGCCGUUGACAAAACGGAGGAAGGUGGGGAUGACGUCAAAUCAUCAUGCCCCUUAUGUUCUGGGCUACACACGUGCUACAAUGGCCGGUACAGACGGACGCAAAGCCGCGAGGUGGAGCAAAUCCUAAAAAGCCGGUCUCAGUUCGGAUUGCAGGCUGCAAUUCGCCUGCAUGAAGUCGGAAUCGCUAGUAAUCGCAGGUCAGCAUACUGCGGUGAAUACGUUCCCGGGCCUU
RNAcentral lists this ribosomal RNA (251 nucleotides) under uncultured Bacillus sp. RNAcentral's name for it is "partial 16S ribosomal RNA". It matches the Rfam family "Bacterial small subunit ribosomal RNA", at positions 1132 to 1382 of the family's 1533-position model. Lineage: Bacteria; Bacillati; Bacillota; Bacilli; Caryophanales; Bacillaceae. The record is from RNAcentral.